RNAcentral lists this long non-coding RNA (302 nucleotides) under Homo sapiens (human). Its description in RNAcentral is "HSALNT0179908". Lineage: Eukaryota; Metazoa; Chordata; Mammalia; Primates; Hominidae. The record is from RNAcentral.
CUGAACUGCAGUACAAUCCUGAAGAAGCUGUGGCCAACCAGGCAGGGGUUCUGGAGAGAAGAUUGCCUGCAAGAGGGUUAUGAGUCAGGCUAAAACUGUGGGCUUCCCUGUCCCAACUGCCAGUCGCUGGAUGUGGAGCUGACAGCCACAGCCACAUGCUGCCUCCUGACGCUUUCCUCAUGACUCGGCAGCAAGUCCUUCCUUGAUGUGGGAUCUGGGUCGUCCAGUGUCAUGUCUUCCUCAGAGAGAGGCGUCCUAGAGUAGGGAGCAUCUAAACCAAGAUUUGAGGGACAAACCACCAG